This 650-nucleotide long non-coding RNA is filed under the name Capsicum annuum. Its description in RNAcentral is "long non-coding RNA (CANN_LNC011039)". Lineage: Eukaryota; Viridiplantae; Streptophyta; Magnoliopsida; Solanales; Solanaceae. The record is from RNAcentral.
UUUUACCAAUUCCAAACCCAAAUACCGUAAUUUUAAAAUUUUACUCCUAAUUACCAUAUCAAAUACCGAAUACCAAAUUCUUCGAUUUUUCAGUAAUUCGAUUUUUGAUAUUUUAUACCCUGCCCUAAAUACACCUACAAAUCAGCUACAAUCCGAGGACGCACUAGCAAUACAGCUACAAAUCAGCUACAAUCCAAGGACGCACCAGCAAUACAACUACAAAUCAGCUAGUAGCAGCAACAGCAACACGCAGGAAGCCAAAUAUCUUCAUGGAGGCAGCAGCAAUACAGCUAUAAAUCAGCAGCAGCUACAAGACGGAGCAAAAAAGUGGAGGUAGCAACUACUCAGAGAAAAAAAAAACUGAAAAGAGGGGUAAAUUUAUCAUUUAACAAAUUAAUGCAUGUGUUAGAGAUUUCGUAUUACUAAUACAUGGGAACUGGUGUGUAUUAUUAAUACACCCUUCAAUAUACAAUAGUGUGUAUAACUAAUGCUUGUAUUAGUUAUACAUAGACUAAAAAUUGUAUCAAACAAGGCACUUAUAAUACACAUUAACUAAUACAUGCACUAUUUUUUUCAAUACACUCUACCAAACGAUUAACAUAUCAGUUGUUUUUCUCUCCACCCAUCCAACACCCCCAGUUCUUACUCCU